CCUACGGGGGGCAGCAGUUAGGGAUCUUGCGCAAUGGGCGGAAGCCUGACGCAGCGACGCCGCGUGGGGGAGGACGGCCCUCGGGUCGUAAACCCCUUUUCCCGGGGACGAGGACGGACGGUACCCGGGGAAGAAGCACCGGCUAACCCCGUGCCAGCAGCCGCGGUAAUACGGGGGGUGCGAGCGUUGUCCGGAUUCACUGGGCGUAAAGGGCGCGUAGGCGGCCCGCUCAGUCCGGUCUCUAACCCCCGGGCUCACCCCGGGGUCGGGUCGGGGACGGGCGGGCUGGGGGCCGGUCGAGGGAAGCGGAAUGCCGGGUGUAGUGGUGAAAUGCGUAGAGAUCCGGCGGAACACCGGUGGCGAAGGCGGCUUCCUGGGCCGGGCCCGACGCUGAGGCGCGAGAGCGCGGGGAGCGAACCGGAUUAGAUACCCUGGUAGUC
Molecule: ribosomal RNA, 440 nt
Filed under: uncultured bacterium
Lineage: Bacteria
Description: bacterial SSU rRNA
Rfam family: Bacterial small subunit ribosomal RNA
Source: RNAcentral